UUUCCGUAGGUGAACCUGCGGAAGGAUCAUUACAGUGUUCUCUGCCCUCACGGGUAGAAACGCCCACCCUUGUGUAUUAUAUCUUUGUUGCUUUGGCAGGCCGCCCUCGGGCACCGGCUCCGGCUGGAUCGCGCCUGCCAGAGGAAACCCAAACUCUGAAUGUUAGUGUCGUCUGAGUACUAUCUAAUAGCUAAAACUUUCAACAACGGAUCUCUUGGUUCUG
Molecule: unclassified non-coding RNA, 223 nt
Filed under: plant metagenome
Description: partial contains small subunit ribosomal RNA, internal transcribed spacer 1, and 5.8S ribosomal RNA
Source: RNAcentral